RNAcentral lists this non-coding RNA (199 nucleotides) under Oscillospiraceae bacterium. Its description in RNAcentral is "6S RNA". It matches the Rfam family "6S / SsrS RNA". From Rfam's summary of the family: E. coli 6S RNA was the first non coding RNA to be sequenced, but its function was unknown until recently. The record is from RNAcentral. Lineage: Bacteria; Bacillati; Bacillota; Clostridia; Eubacteriales; Oscillospiraceae.
CUGCUGCGGCUGUGUUUGCCGUUCGCGGCAUUACAGCCCGUUAAACCCACAUCUCUUAUAAGGGAUGCCGAUUUGAGCCUGCGGAUUGCAGGCCUCCCGGCUUUUGCUGGAAGAAGGAAGCGUGAAACAGGACUUAGGCGACCCACCUGCUACUUUUGUGCAGGUUAUAAUUGGGCUGGCACGGCACAGUGGGAUCCCC